AAGUCGUAACAAGGUUUCCGUAGGUGAACCUGCGGAAGGAUCAUCAUUGAAUCUUUAAACAUACACCUUUGUGAACUCUCGGCAGAAGCGAUGCCAUUAGGUAUCGUGUAUGACGACUCUUUAUGUCUGUGGUGUUGGCGGGACCUGUGUACGUGUCGGUCACCCAGUGACGGACGCUGCAGCCCGCCGACACUCGGACCCUGCUUAAAACACAAACACUAUACGAAACGACAAGCUAAAACAAUUUGUUUAGUAAUUAAAACAACUUUCAACAAUGGAUCUCUUGGCUCUC
This 292-nucleotide unclassified non-coding RNA is filed under the name fungal sp. Its description in RNAcentral is "partial internal transcribed spacer region". The stretch from base 1 to 46 matches the Rfam family "Eukaryotic small subunit ribosomal RNA", at positions 1786 to 1831 of the family's 1831-position model. The record is from RNAcentral. Lineage: Eukaryota; Fungi.